Molecule: ribosomal RNA, 253 nt
Filed under: uncultured bacterium
Lineage: Bacteria
Description: partial 16S ribosomal RNA
Rfam family: Bacterial small subunit ribosomal RNA
Source: RNAcentral
GACAGAGGGUGCAAGCGUUGUUCGGAAUUACUGGGCGUAAAGCGCGCGUAGGCGGCUUUGCAAGUCGGGUGUGAAAUCCCCAGGCUUAACCUGGGAACUGCAUUCGAGACUGCAUUGCUAGAGUAUGGGAGAGGGAAGUGGAAUUUCCGGUGUAGCGGUGAAAUGCGUAGAUAUCGGAAGGAACAUCAGUGGCGAAAGCGACUUCCUGGACCAAUACUGACGCUCAUGUGCGAAAGCGUGGGGAGCAAACAGG